GAUGAACGCUGGCGGCGUGCUUAACACAUGCAAGUCGAACGGAAAGGCUCCUGCUUGCAGGGGUACUCGAGUGGCGAACGGGUGAGUAACACGUGGGUGAUCUGCCCUGCACUUCGGGAUAAGCCUGGGAAACUGGGUCUAAUACCGGAUAGGACGUUGGUUUGGAUGCCAUUGUGGAAAGUUGUUCGGUGUGGGAUGGGCUCGCGGCCUAUCGGCUUGUUGGUGGGGUAAUUGCCUACCAAGGCGUCGACGGGUAGCCGGCCUGAGAGCGUGUACGGCCUCAUUAGGACUGAGAGACGGAGCAGAAGGCUACGGGAGGCAGCAGUGGAGAAUAUUGCACAAUAAGGGCGAGCCAGAUACAGCGACGCCGCGUGGGGGAUGACGGCCUUCGGGUUGUAAACACCUUUCGCUGGGGACGAAGCGCAAGUGACGGUACCUGGAGAAGAAGCACCGGCUAACUACGUG
Molecule: ribosomal RNA, 465 nt
Filed under: uncultured bacterium
Lineage: Bacteria
Description: partial 16S ribosomal RNA
Rfam family: Bacterial small subunit ribosomal RNA
Source: RNAcentral